UACGUAGGGUCCGAGCGUUGUCCGGAAUUACUGGACGUAAAGAGCUCGUAGGUGGUUUGUCGCGUUGUUCGUGAAAACUCACAGCUUAACUGUGGGCGUGCGGGCGAUACGGGCAGACUGGAGUACUGCAGGGGAGACUGGAAUUCCUGGUGUAGCGGUGGAAUGCGCAGAUAUCAGGAGGAACACCGGUGGCGAAGGCGGGUCUCUGGGCAGUAACUGACGCUGAGGAGCGAAAGCGUGGGGAGCGAACAGG
RNAcentral lists this ribosomal RNA (253 nucleotides) under uncultured bacterium. RNAcentral's name for it is "partial 16S ribosomal RNA". It matches the Rfam family "Bacterial small subunit ribosomal RNA", at positions 524 to 776 of the family's 1533-position model. The record is from RNAcentral.